This is an RNA transcript of Lycium ferocissimum, 1249 nucleotides long. It is a transcript of the gene named ankyrin repeat-containing protein NPR4-like, with no coding region annotated. NCBI's taxonomy places the organism in Eukaryota, Viridiplantae, Streptophyta, Magnoliopsida, Solanales, Solanaceae. The transcript has 3 exons. The record is from RefSeq and is a predicted model, not a curated record.
UUCAAUUUUCAAGAGAAAAAUCAAGAGGAUAAAGACAAACUUAAUUUACUGAAAUAGUAAAAAUGGCAUGUAUUUCUAUACACAUAAUGUUUAACUGAUAACUUGGUUUAAUUCGCAUCACAGUGAUCAAGAAAUUGGCUGGCCUUUCAUUUGAUGUUCUUGAAAGAUUAGUGCCAUCUUUGAAACUCAACCGAGACAAAAAGUCGGAAUACUACAAUGCAGUUAAGCUUGCCGAAUGCUUAUGCGAGAAAAUAGAAAGUUUGAGUUGCGAAGAAGUUGCAACAAUUGCUAGUGGUCCUCUCCUUGAAGCAGCAAAAUAUGACAACUAUGAGCUUGUUGAAGCUAUCGUGACAAAAUUUCCUUCACUACUUUACUAUAACGACGGGAAUGAAAAGAAUAUAUUUCACCUUGCGAUAGAGAAUCGAUGUGAAAAUGUGUUUAACUUGGUCUAUCAGAUGAGUCAACAUAGAAACUCGUUGAUGAUUUUAGCCGACUCAUCUCGCCAUACUAUGCUGCAUUUUGCUGGACAAUUGGCGCCACAAAAUAAACUAAACCUAGUUCCUGGCCCAGCUCUUCAGAUUUAACGAGAAUUACAGUGGUUUAAGGAAGUAAAGAAUCUUGUACCGCCUUUUCAUCGGGAAUUCUGCAACAAUGAUAACAACACUCCAAGUGAAGUAUUUACUAAGGAACAUGCUGAUUGAAGAUAAAAGGAGAGGAAUGGAUGAAAGGUACAACAAAUUCAUGCACAAUUGCAGCCGUACUCAUUGCUGCCAUUGCAUUUGCUGCAGCAAUUACAGUUCCAGGUGGCAAUGAUGGUGAAAGUGGACUCCCCAUUUUCGCAAGAAACAGUGCUUUCAUUGUUUUCGCUAUCUCAAAUGCAGCAUCACUAUUCACUUCUAGCACGUCUUUGUUGGUGUUUUUGUCCGUUUUGACUUCCCGUUAUGCAAAAGAAGAUUUCCUAUAUGCUUUGCCUAGAAGUUUGAUUCUUGGUUUGCUCACUCUAUUUCUCUCCAUAACACUCAUGACAGUUAGCUUCAGUGCCACAGUGUAUAUUGUGUUCAGGCAGAAGAAAGUAUAUGUGCUUGUCCCUGUAAUUGUAAUGGCUUGUUUACCUAUCAUCUCAUUUGUGCUUUUGCAGUUUCCACUUCUUGCUGCUUUGAUUUCUUCCAAUUGGCGUGGCAUCUUUGGCAAGAAGAGUAACCGCCCAUUUUAUUGAGGAAAUUGUUUAUAAUUGUGGCGACUCGUUGAA